RNAcentral lists this ribosomal RNA (1372 nucleotides) under uncultured bacterium. Its description in RNAcentral is "16S ribosomal RNA". It matches the Rfam family "Bacterial small subunit ribosomal RNA". The record is from RNAcentral.
UUAGAGUUGAUCCUGGCUCACGACGAACGCUGGCGGCGCGCCUAACACAUGCAAGUCGAACGAGCGAGAGAGAGCUUGCUUUCUCAAGCGAGUGGCGAACGGGCGAGUAACGCGUGAGGAACCUGCCUCAAAGAGGGGGACAACAGUUGGAAACGACUGCUAAUACCGCAUAAGCCCACAGCUCGGCAUCGAGCAGAGGGAAAAGGAGCAAUCCGCUUUGAGAUGGCCUCGCGUCCGAUUAGCUGGUUGGUGAGGUAAUGGCCCACCAAGGCGACGAUCGGUAGCCGGACUGAGAGGUUGAACGGCCACAUUGGGACUGAGACACGGCCCAGACUCCUACGGGAGGCAGCAGUGGGGAAUAUUGCACAAUGGGGGAAACCCUGAUGCAGCGACGCCGCGUGGAGGAAGAAGGUCUUCGGAUUGUAAACUCCUGUUGUUGAGGAAGAUAAUGACGGUACUCAACAAGGAAGUGACGGCUAACUACGUGCCAGCAGCCGCGGUAAAACGUAGGUCACAAGCGUUGUCCGGAAUUACUGGGUGUAAAGGGAGCGCAGGCGGGAAGACAAGUUGGAAGUGAAAUCUAUGGGCUCAACCCAUAAACUGCUUUCAAAACUGUUUUUCUUGAGUAGUGCAGAGGUAGGCGGAAUUCCCGGUGUAGCGGUGGAAUGCGUAGAUAUCGGGAGGAACACCAGUGGCGAAGGCGGCCUACUGGGCACCAACUGACGCUGAGGCUCGAAAGUGUGGGUAGCAAACAGGAUUAGAUACCCUGGUAGUCCACACCGUAAACGAUGAUUACUAGGUGUUGGAGGAUUGACCCCUUCAGUGCCGCAGUUAACACAAUAAGUAAUCCACCUGGGGAGUACGACCGCAAGGUUGAAACUCAAAGGAAUUGACGGGGGCCCGCACAAGCAGUGGAGUAUGUGGUUUAAUUCGACGCAACGCGAAGAACCUUACCAAGUCUUGACAUCCCUUGACGAUGCUGGAAACAGUGUUUCUCUUCGGAGCAAGGAGACAGGUGGUGCAUGGUUGUCGUCAGCUCGUGUCGUGAGAUGUUGGGUUAAGUCCCGCAACGAGCGCAACCCUUACUGUCAGUUACUACGCAAGAGGACUCUGGCAGGACUGCCGUUGACAAAACGGAGGAAGGUGGGGAUGACGUCAAAUCAUCAUGCCCUUUAUGACUUGGGCUACACACGUACUACAAUGGCGUUAAACAAAGAGAAGCAAGACCGCGAGGUGGAGCAAAACUCAGAAACAACGUCCCAGUUCGGACUGCAGGCUGCAACUCGCCUGCACGAAGUCGGAAUUGCUAGUAAUCGUGGAUCAGCAUGCCACGGUGAAUACGUUCCNCGGGCCCUUGUACACACCGCCCGUC